AUAUCUCUCUGUACGGGAAGGAUGAGAAGCUUCUACCAGGGUUCGAUUCGAGCGCAGCGAGAAAGCGUUGCCGCAGGC
RNAcentral lists this small RNA (78 nucleotides) under Salmonella enterica subsp. enterica serovar Heidelberg. RNAcentral describes it as "partial RtT sRNA". It matches the Rfam family "RtT RNA", at positions 1 to 77 of the family's 130-position model. Rfam says of the family: This family represents a bacterial cis-regulatory element known as RtT RNA. The exact function of RtT is unknown although it is thought that it may be involved in changing the cellular response in relation to amino acid starvation. RNAcentral also lists the same sequence under 5 other names. The record is from RNAcentral. Lineage: Bacteria; Pseudomonadati; Pseudomonadota; Gammaproteobacteria; Enterobacterales; Enterobacteriaceae.